Molecule: long non-coding RNA, 1183 nt
Organism: Lolium rigidum
Lineage: Eukaryota; Viridiplantae; Streptophyta; Magnoliopsida; Poales; Poaceae
Exons: 8
Source: RefSeq, a predicted model, not a curated record
GCUAUUCUCAGUAGUAGACUGCUCAUAUUAACUAGCCAACUGUGCAAAUGCUGCUCACCAGAAAUGAUAGGAACACUUGGACGGGUCGGACACGGAGAAGAGCAAAGCCGCGGUGGACUAUUUGGCGUUUGGCUGACCGGUGGGAGAACUUUGCUGAGAGCAGCGCCUACGGCCUCGCCGUGCUCGUCUGCCUCCUCGGCCACAUCCUACCUCUCCGCCAUCCAGCUAUACACAUCAACUAGCCUCACCAUCUCCAGGUCAUCACAUGGUUCUAGUACUGAACAUUUUCUUACUGCAAACUUCAGAAUUCGAUUCAGAAUCGACCACUGGUUUGUUGAUCCUUGCCUGCAAACUCAUGUGCAGGAGGUGCGCGGGGAGCGAAACGGAUUCCAGGAGCAGCGUUGGCAGCGAGAGGUUUGUAGGGCCAGCAUGCAAGUGUUGGCUAGUCAUCGAAGCCUGAAUUUCCAGUACAGGGAGUGGGACUGACCUUACGGAAGAGUGCCCCUGUCUAUCUCAUAAGAUACCCGUGGUUGCGGUUUAUGGCUCGGCAUCGACAUCGCCGGUGGAUGCACCCCUGGAGCCAGGCUUCCACUUGUCUCUCGCGCCGAAGUAGACCGGUGGUGAUCACUCUUGGCAGCGGAUGAGGGGCGCUGCUGGUGUCGCCAGAGAGAGCACUGACGUCCUCGCGUCCUGCUGCUUGGCAUCAACUAUGGCGAUGAGAGGGAUAUUGGUUCCAGCUCUUGUGGCAGUGGCCUGAUUGCAAGUUCAAAGACGGGAACUUGAGAAGGCAGUCUUGGGUGAGGUCAUUUCCCUUGAGAUUUGGUUCUUGCACUCAUUACAGAGUUGGCUAAACUAGCUGGCCUAUCAAUUUGUGGAUACAGAGGAAUUUCAGAGGUUACAAGAUCUGAAACAGCUUGGUGAAUGGUCUUACAUCUCUGGUGUAUCCAGGAGUUGUCCACACGCGCUGUGAACAUUCGUUAGGUGUUUAUGAGCUAGUGGGGAGGCAAUGCAAAAUCUUCAAAUGAAUAAGGGAAAAGUGCUCGGCAUUCACCGUGUUGAUAUGCAUUUCUUCAAUCAACAUCUUGCGACUGCUGCUCUCCGACAAUGUCCACUCACAGCAGUGUAUGAACUGACCACAACAACCUCGUCAGGGAUGGCUCCCCCGCGUCUACAACACCAUCCA